AGUGAACGCUGGCGGUGGGCCUAACACAUGCAAGUCGAACGGCAGCACAGUAAGAGCUUGCUCUUACGGGUGGCGAGUGGCGGACGGGUGAGGAAUACAUCGGAAUCUACUUUUUCGUGGGGGAUAACGUAGGGAAACUUACGCUAAUACCGCAUACGACCUACGGGGGAAAGCAGGGGAUCUUCGGACCUUGCGCGAUUGAAUGAGCCGAUGUCGGAUUAGCUAGUUGGCGGGGUAAAGGCCCACCAAGGCGACGAUCCGUAGCUGGUCUGAGAGGAUGAUCAGCCACACUGGAACUGAGACACGGUCCAGACUCCUACGGGAGGCAGCAGUGGGGAAUAUUGGACAAUGGGCGCAAGCCUGAUCCAGCCAUACCGCGUGGGUGAAGAAGGCCUUCGGGUUGUAAAGCCCUUUUGUUGGGAAAGAAAAGCAGCAGGUUAAUACCCCGCUGUUCUGACGGUACCCAAAGAAUAAGCACCGGCUAACUUCGUG
RNAcentral lists this ribosomal RNA (492 nucleotides) under uncultured bacterium. RNAcentral's name for it is "partial 16S ribosomal RNA". It matches the Rfam family "Bacterial small subunit ribosomal RNA", at positions 29 to 507 of the family's 1533-position model. The record is from RNAcentral.